UUGUUUUUCCUUCUCUUUCUCCCUCUCUUCAGCUUUGUUUUUCCACUCAAACCACCAUAUCUGCUCACCAGCAUCAAAGUCAGAUGUUUUAAGCUCUUUUGCUUGACAAAGGCAGCACUCUCUCUCUAUACAUGCACUCUUUCUUCAGGUUCUGACAGCACAAAGACCCAAUAAGGUUCUGACAGCACAACGACCCAAUAAGGUUCUGACAGCACAACGACCCAAUAAGGUUCUGACAGCACAACGACCCAACAAGGUUCUGACAGCACAACGACCCAAUAAGGUUCUGACAGCACAAAGACCCAAUAAGGUUCUGACAGCACAAAGACCCAAUAAGGUUCUGACAGCACAACGACCCAAUAAGGUUCUGACAGCACAAAGACCCAAUAAGGUUCUGACAGCACAACGACCCAAUAAGGUUCUGACAGCACAACGACCCAAUAAGGUUCUGACAGCACAAAAAGCACCCAAUAAGGUUCUGACAGCACAACGACCCAAUAAGGUUCUGACAGCACAAAGACCCAAUAAGGUUCUGACAGCACAAAGACCCAAUAAGGUUCUGACAGCACAAAGACCCAAUAAGGUUCUGACAGCACAAAAAGCACCCAAUAAGGUUCUGACAGCACAACGACCCAAUAAGGUUCUGACAGCACAACGACCCAAUAAGGUUCUGACAGCACAAAAAGCACCCAAUAAGGUUUUCAUUGUUGCUGCAGGUGAUCACUUUAUGAUACUGUAGUUUGUCGGCCAUGAACUGGAGGUCGGU
Oncorhynchus keta (chum salmon) is the source of this 766-nucleotide long non-coding RNA. RefSeq lists it as uncharacterized. NCBI's taxonomy places the organism in Eukaryota, Metazoa, Chordata, Actinopteri, Salmoniformes, Salmonidae. The transcript is spliced from 3 exons. The record is from RefSeq and is a predicted model, not a curated record.